Molecule: ribosomal RNA, 253 nt
Filed under: uncultured bacterium
Lineage: Bacteria
Description: partial 16S ribosomal RNA
Rfam family: Bacterial small subunit ribosomal RNA
Source: RNAcentral
UACGAAGGGGGCUAGCGUUGCUCGGAAUUACUGGGCGUAAAGGGAGCGUAGGCGGACAUUUAAGUCAGGGGUGAAAUCCCAGAGCUCAACUCUGGAACUGCCUUUGAUACUGAGUGUCUUGAGUGUGAUAGAGGUAUGUGGAACUCCGAGUGUAGAGGUGAAAUUCGUAGAUAUUCGGAAGAACACCAGUGGCGAAGGCGACAUACUGGAUCAUUACUGACGCUGAGGCUCGGAAGCGUGGGGAGCAAACAGG